AUGGCCGCGGAUGCCGCCGCUCCCUCCCGCACUCUCCCCGCGUGCAUGCUGCCGCUGCUCCUCCUCCUCCUCCUCUCAGCGCGCGCGGCGGACGCGGGCCCUCUGGCGGCGGGGCUCGUGCACCCGGGCUUCACCGCCUCCGGCUACGAGUACAUCGACACCCGCGGCGCCUUCCUCGAGUCCAACAAGGGCGCCUUCAGGGCGGCCGUGCACAACCCGGGCAAGCAGCUGGCCAGCUUCUACCUCGCCGUGCUGCACGCGCCGACCGGCACGCCGGUCUGGUCCGCCAACCGCGACGCGCCCACGGGGUCCUCCGGCCGCGUCCAGCUCUCCGCGCGCGGGCUCUCCGUCACGGACGCGGAUGGCGCGACGGUGCUGUGGUCGACCACGCCGCGGGCGCCCGUCGCGGCGCUCCGCCUGCGGGACGACGGGAACCUGCAGCUGCUGGACGCGCGGAACGCGACGCUGUGGCAGUCGUUCGACGACGCCACCGACGCGCUGCUCCCGGGGCAGCAGCUGCGCGCCGCCGCGUACCUCACGUCGGGGAGGAGCCCCGGUGAUUUUGCCCGGGGGGACUACCGGCUCGCCGUGUCCGGGUCGGACGUGGCGUUGACGUGGCAGGGGUCCACGUACUGGCGGCUGUCCAACGACCUCCGCUCCUUCAAGGACCGCAACGCCGCCGCGGCGGCGAUGUCGUUCAAUUCCUCGGGGCUGUUCGUGGUCGCCGCCGACAGCGCGCUGGUGUUCCGGGUGGACUUCGCGCCGGCUGAUUUCCGCGUGCUUAAGCUGGGGCACGACGGGCGGCUGCGCGUCACAAGCUACGCGCUGGUGAACUCCUCGGAUCCCCUCGGCGGGGACUUCGUGGCGCCCGCCACCGACUGCGAGCUUCCGUCGCCGUGUCCGUCCCUCGGGCUCUGCGGUGCGGCGGGCAACAGCUCGACCUGCACGUGCCCUCCGCUCUUCGCCGCCUCCGUGAAAGUGUCCGGCGGGUGCACGCCGGGGGACGGCUCCGCGCUCGCGUCGCCGGAGGACUUGUGCCGGACCAACAGCAGCGCCUCCUCCGUUUCUUACCUCGCCCUCAAGCCGAAGAUCGCCUACUCCGCCAGCAGGUACGACGCCCCAACGACGACAGGCGUCAACCGCACCGCGUGCCGCGCCCUAUGUACCGCGAACUGCACAUGCCUUGGUUACUUCCACGACAACUCCUCCAUUACUUGCUACUUGAUCGGAGGAAGGCAGCUCGGUUCGCUCCAUUGGAGCACUCGUGCUGCACCGGCGUUGGGAUACAUCAAGACGAUCAGUUCGGCGACCAGAGCUGGGAAAAACAAACGCGACUCUUCGUCGGCGAGCCGCUCUUUGCCUAUCGUACUGCCGUCCGUUGCCGCGUUUCUUCUCAUCGUCGUGGUGGCAUGGUACUCAUUGUGGUGGAGGAGGAAGAGGAAGAGCGGAAAGAAAGGCAAGGCCAAGAACUCCUCGGCGAAGAAUGUGAAUCUGGGCCUCCAAAAUCCGCGGUCGAGAGACGCGAGCUACGACGAGGAUCCCGACGACGACGACAUCGUCAUACCGGGCAUGCCGGCGCGGUUUAGCUACGAGGAGAUCGGGUCGAUGACCGCAGGCUUCGGAACGAAGGUGGGCUCCGGCGGGUUCGGCUCCGUGUAUAAAGGGGAGCUUCCAGCCGGCGAGGGGCUCGUCGCGGUGAAGAGGCUGGAGGCCGUUGGCAUGCAGGCGAAGAGGGAAUUCUGCACGGAGAUCGCCGUCAUCGGCAACAUCCGGCACGUCAACCUCGUCCGCCUCCGCGGCUUCUGCGCGGAGGGCUCGCGCCGGCUGCUCGUCUACGAGUACAUGAACCGCAGCUCGCUUGACCGAUCGCUGUUCGGCGCCACGGGAGCGCCGGUGCUGGAGUGGGGGGAGCGCAUGGAGGUGGCGCUGGGCGCGGCGCGCGGGCUCGCGUACCUGCACACAGGAUGCGACCAGAAGAUCGUGCACUGCGACGUGAAGCCGGAGAACAUCUUGCUAGCGGACGGCGGGCAGGUGAAGGUCUCCGACUUUGGCCUUGCGAAGCUGAUGUCGCCGGAGCACUCGGCGAUCUUCACCACCAUGCGCGGCACACGCGGAUACCUCGCGCCAGAGUGGCUCAGCAACGCGCCGAUCUCGGACCGCGCGGACGUGUACAGCUUCGGCAUGGUGCUGCUCGAGCUGGUGCACGGGAGGAAGAACCGCGGCGAGCAGGAGCAAGCCAACAACGCCGGCGCCGCGGUCGGCGGCAGCGGCGACCACUCGGCCUUUCCGUCCCCGUCCGGUCAUAGCAGCACGAUGACGUCGUCGACGAUGAGCGGCGGCACCAGCGGUGGCGACGACGAUUACUUCCCGAUGGUCGCGCUGGAGCUCCACGAGCAAGGGAGAUACCUGGACCUCGUCGACCGGACGCUGGAGGGGCGGAUGAGCGAGGCUGAAGUCGCGCGCGCCGUGCGCCUCGCGCUGGGCAGCCUGCACGAGGACCCUGCGCAGCGGCCCAGCAUGGCCGCGGUGGUGCGAGUGCUGGAAGGCAGCGUGCCACCGCCGGAGCCCCCGGGCGACGCGCUCGGCUUUCUGCGGCUCUACGGGAGAGGCUACGCCAUGCCGGCCCCGGUGGCGGGCAUGGCUGCCACGUCCGAGUCAGCUGGCCACGCGCCAUGCCAUGGCUGGUCCACGUCGGCUACCGCCGGCUCGCAGCUGGACGGUUCAUUGAAGGACACGUUGGUGCCCAGAUAG
RNAcentral lists this ribosomal RNA (2751 nucleotides) under Triticum aestivum (bread wheat). RNAcentral describes it as "partial small subunit ribosomal RNA". The record is from RNAcentral. Lineage: Eukaryota; Viridiplantae; Streptophyta; Magnoliopsida; Poales; Poaceae.